UACAGCCAAGGCCCACAUUGCAGAUUCAAACAAAGGAAGUUAAAGUUCAUUGGUAUUUUUCUUUGGUUGGGUCAAAAGAAGAUUGAAAUUGAUGAGAGAACUAGAGGGUGUUACACAGACUGAACACCGUUUAUAAAGUACUUGGGAUUUAUUUCUACUUUUGGAGAGCAGGAGAAACACAUCCAUACCUCAGGGAAGGAGAAUGGGGACAAAUUGUGCCUUAAGGGCCAGAUCUGCAAGUGGAUCCAUAUGGAGAAAUCUUUAUGUGUUGGGAACAUCAUUCAAGUCAACGGGACGCUGUGAGGGCACAGAAGCUUGCCAGGUCCAAACUGCAAUUUGAAAAGUGUUUUGUGUUCCUUCAAGGGAUACCUUUGGAACCACAGAGGGGCUUUUUCCUUGGCUCUGAAGACAGAAUUUGGCCCUUUGCAAUCAGUUCAACUUCUGUCAGUUUUGCUGUCUGCCUCAAUAGCUGCCCUUGCAAUAUGAAAGAGAGAAGAGGCAUGUGUGAAUCUGGCCCAGGAGGGAAUAAGGAGAGAAGAAAGGCUGGGAGUUUGACUCAGCAGGAGAAUUAUGGACAAGAUUAGUGUGGCCAUCUGUGUGUCUCCCCAAGUGGAUUUUUUGGUCCCUACAAUGCUAAGACUCCUUCUUGUGAUCAGGAGAUCAUGGCUGCAGCCCUGCAGUGUGGCUGGUGUAGAAAUUUAUUACAGACUUCCUUAUUUGUGCCUUCUUGCCCAAGCCCAGUGGAAGUCAGUUCAAAAUUCCCAUUGGCACCUCAGGCUGUUUACCACUAGCUCCGUAGCUUACUUCUCCUCAUGGCCCUGCAGUCUGCCACAGAUGGAAAAACAGAGUCAUGAGAAUCUUCUGAUUUGAUCCCUUCAGUCUGGACUGAGAGUGAAGAUCUCCACAAGAGCUGCUAACGUGUAGAGACAGGAGCUGCAGUUUGUAGUAUAUUGAAGAAGGACAAGGGCAAAUGGAGAAUGGAAGAAAUGGGAGGAGUGUGGAGAAAAGUUUAAAAGCAAGAUAAAGACAAAGAGUAAGAAGACUUCUCAGGGUCAGAUAGAAUCUGAUAAACUUUGAGAAAAGCCUCAAGAUACUUGGAGGUGUUUUCAAAACCUUCCAACCUUGCAACAUUCUCCCAUCAUAGUCUGGGGUGAAGUGAUUUAUGAAUAUACAUACCUACACAGUUCUCUGUGAUCAUCUUGAUAAGCUCUGUUUCCACAUGCCUGCCAAUCCUCUCUAGUCCUUCCAUCUGAGCCUGCAAAGUUUUGAUGAUACAACACCACAGCUUCUUGGCUUUCAUUUGAUUUAAAAUUUGUGAUUGCAAUUAUGGACUGCACAUUUCCAUGGGCUUACUGCUGCAUAGGAAGGCUUUUGUGUCCAAGGUAUUGGCAGUGUAGCAUGGCAACUUAAGGGAUGCUAAUAUAGCAGAGGCCUGAGUAUCCUGAAACCUGUCAAGUACGUGGGGGAAAAAACUUGACUGUUAAUUUGAUUCAGAGCACCACAACAACUGUCCAUACUGGCAUGACUCCUUCAGGGUAGAAAAUUUAUAUAUCUGUGUAAAUACUAAGCAAAAAAACCAGAAGACAUUCAUCACAUAUAUAAAAAUAGAGCUGUGGUUAAUAUAGUGUACACUGUGGUCUGUUACUGCUCUGGGAUAUGGUAUCUCUGCUGCUUACAUGGCUAUGAUGUAUCUACUUAUGAGACAUCAGUGUUCCGCCUUUACAAUUAUGUCGGAUUAUACCACUACACUUUGUCUUUACCACACUCCUCCUUGCCCAGGAAAUGUAUGAAGAAAAUGGCCUGUUCCAAGUAGACAGUGCAGGUGAAGUAAUGUCAUGGCAGCUAGCAAGAAACUCAAAUUUCCACUUGAGAAAAAAAUGAAAGUUAUUUAAAAAGUCUAAUUCAAAAUUUUAACUGUAAAAAAAUAUUUUUUGUAACAUUAAUAAAAUAAAAAAUAUGUAUUGGAGAGUUGUACUUGAAAAAUGUAAAAUUGUACAAUGACAUAAAUAACCUGAGUGCAUUCCUUUACAUAUAGAGCUCAUUCAUUAGAUUUAAUAUUUGUAUGAACAUGUUAAGGGAAAAAAAAAUAAUCAAAAUUAGAGAAAAUAUCAGAAAAAUAUUUUUACUUAAACAGUGUAAUGUUUGUCAAAUUUGUCAAACAGCAACAGUGACUUGCUGGUUUCUUCCCCCAGAAUUUCACUGAAAUAAAUGUGCAUUUCAAAGACGUUUUGAUUUGUUUUUAAAUGAAAUUCUUUAACAGAAAUGUCUAUUAGGUAUUAUCACCAGCUUGAUCAUGCUAUGAAAUUCUAUAUAUGAACCACUUUCAACACAAAAAUCUUUGCUACCUCUUGCUGAUCUGUCUUUUGUUUUGAGUUCUUUGCUAAUAAGUAAUGAAAAUGUUACAACCUUACAGCUUGUUUUGUGGUUGCAAUUACGUAAUCAUUAUUAAUGAAGCAACAAUGUCAAAACUGUGUGAAACCGAACUCAUAUUUAAGCACUUACAAUAAACAGAUAUAAAACAA
Molecule: long non-coding RNA, 2522 nt
Organism: Passer domesticus (house sparrow)
Lineage: Eukaryota; Metazoa; Chordata; Aves; Passeriformes; Passeridae
Exons: 8
Source: RefSeq, a predicted model, not a curated record